RNAcentral lists this long non-coding RNA (224 nucleotides) under Capsella rubella. Its description in RNAcentral is "long non-coding RNA (CRUB_LNC002078)". The record is from RNAcentral. Lineage: Eukaryota; Viridiplantae; Streptophyta; Magnoliopsida; Brassicales; Brassicaceae.
UUGAAAAUGGUGUGUCAACUGUUUUUUUUUUUUUUUUAAAUAAAACAUUUCAGCAUAAAUAUACUGUUGAACCAUCUCUUAUCGUGUGCAUCAUCAUGCUUGUCACUACAGAAACAUUAUCUUUCUAGCAUAUGUGUUCAUAUAUAUAUAUGCAUACGCAUAUGAAGUUCCUCUAGUAAUAAAUAAUUAAAGAGGUUUCAGAAGAAUGUUAAGUUGAAAACUUA